Molecule: small nuclear RNA, 107 nt
Filed under: Anopheles coluzzii
Lineage: Eukaryota; Metazoa; Arthropoda; Insecta; Diptera; Culicidae
Source: RNAcentral
GUCCUAGCUUUGGCUGGACAUAUACUAAAAUUGGAACGACACAGAUAAGAUUAGCAUGGCCCCUGCGCAAGGAUGACACGCAAAAUCGUGAAGCGUUCCACAUUUUU